RNAcentral lists this ribosomal RNA (500 nucleotides) under uncultured bacterium. RNAcentral's name for it is "partial 16S ribosomal RNA". It matches the Rfam family "Bacterial small subunit ribosomal RNA", at positions 355 to 866 of the family's 1533-position model. The record is from RNAcentral.
UGGGGAAUAUUGCACAAUGGGCGCAAGCCUGAUGCAGCAACGCCGCGUGAGGGACGACGGCCUUCGGGUUGUAAACCUCUUUUAGUAGGGAAGAAGCGAAAGUGACGGUACCUGCAGAAAAAGCACCGGCUAACUACGUGCCAGCAGCCGCGGUAAUACGUAGGGUGCGAGCGUUGUCCGGAAUUAUUGGGCGUAAAGAGCUCGUAGGCGGUCUGUCGCGUCUGCUGUGAAAACCCGAGGCUCAACCUCGGGCCUGCAGUGGUACGGGCAGACUAGAGUGCGGUAGGGGAGAAUGGAAUUCCUGGUGUAGCGGUGGAAUGCGCAGAUAUCAGGAGGAACACCGAUGGCGAAGGCAGUUCUCUGGGCCGUAACUGACGCUGAGGAGCGAAAGCGUGGGGAGCGAACAGGAUUAGAUACCCUGGUAGUCCACGCCGUAAACGUUGGGCGCUAGAUGUGGGGACCAUUCCACGGUUUCCGUGUCGCAGCUAACGCAUUAAGCG